Molecule: ribosomal RNA, 497 nt
Filed under: uncultured bacterium
Lineage: Bacteria
Description: partial 16S ribosomal RNA
Rfam family: Bacterial small subunit ribosomal RNA
Source: RNAcentral
GAUGAACGCUGGCGGCGUGCCUAAUACAUGCAAGUCGAGCGAACAGACGAGGAGCUUGCUCCUCUGACGUUAGCGGCGGACGGGUGAGUAACACGUGGAUAACCUACCUAUAAGACUGGGAUAACUUCGGGAAACCGGAGCUAAUACCGGAUAAUAUAUUGAACCGCAUGGUUCACUAGUGAAAGACGGUUUUGCUGUCACUUAUAGAUGGAUCCGCGCCGCAUUAGCUAGUUGGUAAGGUAACGGCUUACCAAGGCAACGAUGCGUAGCCGACCUGAGAGGGUGAUCGGCCACACUGGAACUGAGACACGGUCCAGACUCCUACAGGAGGCAGCAGUAGGGAAUCUUCCGCGAUGGACGAAAGCCUGACGGAGCAACGCCGCGUGAGUGAUGAAGGUCUUCGGAUCGUAAAACUCUGUUAUUAGGGAAGAACAAAUGUGUAAGUAACUAUGCACGUCUUGACGGUACCUAAUCAGAAAGCCACGGCUAACUACGUG